UGGUAUGCAUGCCUAGCAACAGUAAAAAUGUGAAUAGGGGGCUUUUACGCUAUGCAGAGGAUAUAAAUGGAGUGACACUGUAUGUGGUAGGUUGACAAAUAGUUUUAUGAAUACAUUUUAUGCUACAGUUUUUAAAAAAUAUACUGAGUUUUGUUUCUUUCUUAUUGCAGCUUAGGAAAGCCUUCUUAAUUAAUGACUCAGACUCUGAGGAUGACAUAGUCGUGUUGGGCUCCCCUGUUAGAACCUAUGUUGACGAAGACGUGGAUAUGGCCAGCAUAUUAAGAACCUUACAGAUGGAAAACCUCAAUGAGGACAGCAAAUUCACAGUAAUUGGCACGACGGAAGAAAAUACUGCCUAGUGCCUGUGCAGCCUGGCAAAAAGUUACUUUGCAUGGCAUAAAACACCAGUCAGUGAAUAUGUUGGUGAAACAGCUGAUGAUUAUGGCGGACCUCAAGAGAGUUCUUCAGGUUUGGAGUCUUUUACUGUGUGUGUGUGUGAGAGAGAGAGAGCGAUUGUUUAAUAUGACUUAUGCACAUAAUGGAAUGCUUAGUUUCUCCACUUAAUAUAUGUAUUGACAGUUCUUUGAACUUCCCCUUCUUUAUGAUAGAUUGUUAUUGAUAGAUGUCCAGACAUUGCUUUGAGUUUUUAAAGGUUUGGGAGGACAUCUUUUUUUCACGUAUGACCAGGCAGCUUUGGACAGCAGCAAAUUCUAUACAGUUGGCAAGCUUAUAGCCUGGUCUAUAAUCCAUGGUGGGCCAGGAAUUAAAGCCUUGGAUCCUCAUUUGUUCCAGCUGAUGUGUGGCCAGACAGUAAAACUGGAAAAGUUUAACAGCCAUCAUUUUCCAAAUGUUGAUAUUCAUGAAAUGAUUAGUCAGAUUUCACAGUGCACACCUCCUGCAGAUGUUUUUACUCUACGAGCACAACUAGGAGACUGGAUUGCAGACUGUGGAGUCCCGGGAAUUUUUACUGCUGGACUUGCAGAUAGAGUGGAACCUCAGUUUACGAGUAACUUGGUUUACGAGUGUUUUGUGAGCUAAAUUUUUUA
Long non-coding RNA from Polypterus senegalus (gray bichir), 1046 nucleotides. RefSeq lists it as uncharacterized. Lineage: Eukaryota; Metazoa; Chordata; Cladistia; Polypteriformes; Polypteridae. The transcript has 3 exons. The record is from RefSeq and is a predicted model, not a curated record.